This 24-nucleotide transfer RNA is filed under the name Cyrtodactylus rukhadeva. RNAcentral's name for it is "partial tRNA-Cys". Lineage: Eukaryota; Metazoa; Chordata; Lepidosauria; Squamata; Gekkonidae. The record is from RNAcentral.
AAGCCCCGGCACCCUUAUGGGGUG